Molecule: ribosomal RNA, 405 nt
Filed under: uncultured Rhodococcus sp.
Lineage: Bacteria; Bacillati; Actinomycetota; Actinomycetes; Mycobacteriales; Nocardiaceae
Description: bacterial SSU rRNA
Rfam family: Bacterial small subunit ribosomal RNA
Source: RNAcentral
GGCCCCGGUAAGCGUAGAGAACGGUCCCCCUUGUGGUCGGUGUACAGGUGGUGCAUGGCUGUCGUCAGCUCGUGUCGUGAGAUGUUGGGUUAAGUCCCGCAACGAGCGCAACCCUUGUCUUAUGUUGCCAGCGCGUUAUGGCGGGGACUCGUAAGAGACUGCCGGGGUCAACUCGGAGGAAGGUGGGGACGACGUCAAGUCAUCAUGCCCCUUAUGUCCAGGGCUUCACACAUGCUACAAUGGCCAGUACAGAGGGCUGCGAGACCGUGAGGUGGAGCGAAUCCCUUAAAGCUGGUCUCAGUUCGGAUCGGGGUCUGCAACUCGACCCCGUGAAGUCGGAGUCGCUAGUAAUCGCAGAUCAGCAACGCUGCGGUGAAUACGUUCCCGGGCCUGUACACACCGAGA